CCAAUAGCGUAUAUUAAAGUUGCUGCAGUUAAAAAGCUCGUAGUUGAAUUUCGGGACUGAUAUGUCGGUCGUGCCUCGGUACGUACUGGUAUUUUUGGUUUCUCCCUUCUGACGAACCUUGAUGUCAUUAAUUUGGUGUCUUGGGAAAUCAGGACUGUUACUUUGAAAAAAUUAGAGUGUUUAAAGCAGGCUCACGCUUG
This 200-nucleotide ribosomal RNA is filed under the name uncultured Glomus. RNAcentral describes it as "partial small subunit ribosomal RNA". It matches the Rfam family "Eukaryotic small subunit ribosomal RNA", at positions 591 to 797 of the family's 1831-position model. Lineage: Eukaryota; Fungi; Glomeromycota; Glomeromycetes; Glomerales; Glomeraceae. The record is from RNAcentral.